AACAGGAAGAAGCUUGCUUCUUUGCUGACGAGUGGCGGACGGGUGAGUAAUGUCUGGGAAACUGCCUGAUGGAGGGGGAUAACUACUGGAAACGGUAGCUAAUACCGCAUAACGUCGCAAGACCAAAGAGGGGGACCUUCGGGCCUCUUGCCAUCGGAUGUGCCCAGAUGGGAUUAGCUAGUAGGUGGGGUAACGGCUCACCUAGGCGACGAUCCCUAGCUGGUCUGAGAGGAUGACCAGCCACACUGGAACUGAGACACGGUCCAGACUCCUACGGGAGGCAGCAGUGGGGAAUAUUGCACAAUGGGCGCAAGCCUGAUGCAGCCAUGCCGCGUGUAUGAAGAAGGCCCUUCGGGUUGUAAAGUACUU
Molecule: ribosomal RNA, 369 nt
Filed under: uncultured bacterium
Lineage: Bacteria
Description: bacterial SSU rRNA
Rfam family: Bacterial small subunit ribosomal RNA
Source: RNAcentral